AAUCAACGCUGGCGGCGUGCCUAACACAUGCAAGUCGAACGCGAGAGGGGCUUCGGCCCUGAUUGAGUGGCAAACGGGUGAGUAACGCGUGGGUGACCUACCUUCGAGUGGGGGAUAACGUUCCGAAAGGGACGCUAAUACCGCAUAACAUCCUGUCUUUGGACAGAUGGAGAUCAAAGCCGGGGAUCGUAAGACCUGGCGCUUGAGGAGGGGCCCGCGUCCGAUUAGCUAGUUGGUGGGGAAUGGCUCACCAAGGCAACGAUCGGUAGCCGGCCUGAGAGGGCGGACGGCCACACUGGGACUGAGACACGGCCCAGACUCCUACGGGAGGCAGCAGUGGGAAUUGUCGCAAUGGGCGCAAGCCUGACGACGCAACGCCGCGUGAAGGAUGAAGGUCUCGGAUUGUAAACCUCUGUUGAUCGGGACGAACAGCCAAGGGAUC
RNAcentral lists this ribosomal RNA (442 nucleotides) under uncultured bacterium. RNAcentral's name for it is "bacterial SSU rRNA". It matches the Rfam family "Bacterial small subunit ribosomal RNA", at positions 29 to 462 of the family's 1533-position model. The record is from RNAcentral.